AGUGAACGCUGGCGGCAGGCCUAACACAUGCAAGUCGAGCGGCAGCGGGGUUCCCGCGAGGGGAUGCCGGCGAGCGGCGGACGGGUGAGGAACACAUCGGAAUCUGCCUGGUUGUGGGGGAUAACGUAGGGAAACUUACGCUAAUACCGCAUGCGACCCUGAGUCGACGGACUGGGGGUGAAAGUGAGGGACCUUCGGGCCUCACGCGACCAGAUGAGCCGAUGUCGGAUAGCUAGUUGGCGGGGUAACGGCCCGCCAAGGCGACGAUCCGUAGCUGGUCUGAGAGGAUGAUCAGCCACACUGGGACUGAGACACGGCCCAGACUCCUACGGGAGGCAGCAGUGGGGAAUCUUGGACAAUGGGCGCAAGCCUGAUCCAGCCAUG
Molecule: ribosomal RNA, 384 nt
Filed under: uncultured bacterium
Lineage: Bacteria
Description: bacterial SSU rRNA
Rfam family: Bacterial small subunit ribosomal RNA
Source: RNAcentral